AUAAUUAUUAUCUUACUUUAUUUUAUAUUUAAAAUUUUGAGAAAUAUCUUUGAUUUUUGUAACCUAAAGAUAAAAGAAUUUUUGUUAUAGUAAAUUAGUACUGUGAAGGAAUAGAUUAAAUAAUUAAAAUUUAGUUUUUUAUAAGUAUACUUUAUUUGUAGUACCUUUUGUAUCAGGGUUAAUCAAAUAUAUUAAUUUAUAUUUUUAUCUCGAUUUUAAAAGAGCUAAUUUAAUAUUUUAGUUAAUGUUUCAUAAUUAUUAAAAAUAUAAUUUAGAGGAGAAAUUUUAUUCGGUUUUAAAGGUAUCUGGUUUUUUAAGAAUUAAAUUGAAUUUAGCUUUAAUAUUUAAUUUUUAUAUUUAUUUAUAUAUUAUUUAUUAAGGGUAAAAUUAUAGGGGAUAAGCUCUAUAUUUUCCUAUAAAUUUAAUUUUGACUUAUUUUUGUAGGGUUAAAAUUAUCCAUCAUUAGAGAGUGUGUUAUAAUUUAUAUAUGUAUUUAAUCAAUUUUAUUAUUUUUAGUUUUUUAUUAAAAUAUCAUAAUUAAUUGCAUAUAUUGAGCAAUAAUGAUUAAAUUAGUAUAAAUAUUUGUUUAUUAUUUUAUUUAAGUGAUGAUAAUAUAAGGAACUCGGCAAAUAUAAUUCUCGCCUGUUUAACAGAGACAUGUCCUUUUGAUUUAGUAUUUAAGGUCUGACCUGCCCAGUGAUUAAUUUAACGGCCGCGGUAUACUGACCGUGCAAAGGUAGCAUAAUCAUUAGUCUUUUAAUAGAGGGCUGGAAUGAAAGGUUUAACGAGGAAUUGACUGUCUCAUAUUAUUUAUUUUGAAAUUUAAUGUUUUAGUUCAAAAGCUAAAAUACCGUUGGAAGCCGAGAAAACCCUAUAGAUCUUUAGUAUUUAAGGUCUUGACCUGUCCAGUGAUAAUUGUAUUUUAAUAACAUUAUAUUUUGUUGGUGUGACAGAAAUAUACAUUUAACUUUUUUAUUUACAUAACAUUGAUUUAUGAUUAUUAGAUCCAUUAUUAGUGAUUAUUAGAUUAAGUUACCUUAGGGAUAACAGCGUAAUCCUCCUCCAGAGUUCAUAUUUACAGGAUGGGCUUGCGACCUCGAUGUUGGAUUAAGAUAAUAAUUAGGUGUAGCCGCUUAAUUUAUAGGUCUGUUCGACCUUUAAACUCUUAUA
Molecule: ribosomal RNA, 1170 nt
Filed under: Pachydiplax longipennis
Lineage: Eukaryota; Metazoa; Arthropoda; Insecta; Odonata; Libellulidae
Description: partial 16S ribosomal RNA
Source: RNAcentral